RNAcentral lists this ribosomal RNA (444 nucleotides) under uncultured bacterium. RNAcentral describes it as "partial 16S ribosomal RNA". It matches the Rfam family "Bacterial small subunit ribosomal RNA", at positions 338 to 795 of the family's 1533-position model. The record is from RNAcentral.
CCUACGGGUGGCAGCAGUGGGGAAUAUUGGUCAAUGGAGGAAACUCUGACCCAGCAAUGCCGCGUGAAUGAAGAAGGUCUUCGGAUUGUAAAGUUCUUUAGUCAGGGAAGAAGUCAAUGACGGUACCUGCAGAAUAAGCUCCGGCUAACUACGUGCCAGCAGCCGCGGUAAUACGUAGGGAGCCAGAGUUGUUCGGAAUGACUGGGCGUAAAGGGUGCGUAGGCGGUUGUACAAGUUAGAGGGGAAAUACCCAGGGCUUAACACGUGUGCUGCUUCUAAAACUGUAUGACUUGAGUGCAGUAGAGGUAAGUGGAAUUCGUAGUGUAGCGGUGAAAUGCGUAGAUAUUAGGAAGAACACCAGAGGCGAAGGCAGCUAACUGGACUGCAACUGACGCUGAAGCACGAAAGUGUGGGGAGCAAACAGGAUUAGAUACCCCAGUAGUC